Aureimonas sp. Leaf324 is the source of this 288-nucleotide small RNA. It matches the Rfam family "5' ureB small RNA". The record is from Rfam. NCBI's taxonomy places the organism in Bacteria, Pseudomonadati, Pseudomonadota, Alphaproteobacteria, Hyphomicrobiales, Aurantimonadaceae.
CCUCGUCGAUCUGCUGCGGGCAGAUGAAGUGGAUGUGGCUGUCGAUGCCGCCGGCGGUGACGAUCUUGCCCUCGCCCGCGAUCGCCUCGGUGCCGGGGCCGACGACGAUGGUGACGCCCGGCUGCGUGUCCGGGUUGCCGGCCUUGCCGAUGGCCGCGAUGCGUCCGCCGCGAAGGCCGAUAUCGGCCUUGUAGAUGCCGGAGUGGUCGAGAAUCAGCGCGUUGGUGAUGACGGUGUCGACCGCCCCCUCGGCUCGGCUUCGCUGCGACUGGCCCAUGCCGUCGCGGA